UUCCCUGUGGAACUGGAGUGGAGAGAGAUCUUUGUUAUCCCUCUGGAAAUCUUUUAACAUCUCCCAUCAGUUCUGUGAUUUGACUCUGAUCUGUCCUGAAUGCAGCAACUGCUGAGGUUUAGUCUGGGCACUGCCUGGUCUCUGCCAACACCAAUAUCAGGCUUUUCCCCUUGAAGUUCAGCUGUAAAAUAGGGGGGGGAAACCCCACAUUCUUCAUCUCCUGCCCCAAAAAGCUGUGCAGAAGAAGCCAGAAAAUUAUAUUGCACCAAAUACCUAUUCCUGUUUUAUGGGUUUAUCUCCACAUUCUGGGAAAUUGCAUAAUUAAAUGUCAUAUUUAAUAUAAAAAAUAAUAGGACAGAUGAUAUCAUAUCCUUAAAGCUAACUAAAUUUUAUAUUGUGCAGUCUUGCUUAAUCAAAGUUUCAUUUCCAUUUGUUCAGGGCAUAUUUUGUCACUUUUUUUUUUUUUUUUUUUUUUACUGGCAAUUUUCUGUAGAUCUCAUAGAUGGAUCCAACCCAGAGGUCUCUGAAGAACAGGGGACUCAGGGC
Molecule: long non-coding RNA, 546 nt
Filed under: Ficedula albicollis (Collared flycatcher)
Lineage: Eukaryota; Metazoa; Chordata; Aves; Passeriformes; Muscicapidae
Description: lncRNA (ENSFALG00000028549.1)
Source: RNAcentral